GAUGAACGCUGGCGGCGUGCCUAAUACAUGCAAGUCGAGCGGACAGACGAGGAUCUUGCUCCGCGGACGUGAGGGGCGGACGUGUGUGUAACACGUGGAUAACCUACCUAUAAUACUGGGAUAACUUGGGGAAAGCGGAGCUUAUACCAUAGAAGAUAUUGAACCGCAUGGUUGAAUAGUAAAAGACGGUUGUGCUGUCUCUUAUAGAUGGAUCCGCGCCGCAUUAGCUAGUUGGUAAGUUAACGGCUUACGAAGGGUACGAUGCCUAGCCGACCUGAGAGCGUGAUGCGCCACACUGAAACUGAGCCGCGGCCCAGACUCCUACGGGAGGCAGCAGCAGGUAAUCUUCGGAACAGGGCGAAAGCCUGCCGGAGCAACGCAGCGCGGGUGCUGCAGGUCUUCGGGUCGUAAAACUCUCUUCUUAGGGAAGACCAAAUGCGUAUGUAACUAUGCAUGUCUGGCCGGAACCGGUACAGAAAGCCCCGGCUAAUUCCUU
RNAcentral lists this ribosomal RNA (496 nucleotides) under uncultured bacterium. RNAcentral's name for it is "partial 16S ribosomal RNA". It matches the Rfam family "Bacterial small subunit ribosomal RNA", at positions 28 to 506 of the family's 1533-position model. The record is from RNAcentral.